This 380-nucleotide long non-coding RNA is filed under the name Daucus carota (carrot). Its description in RNAcentral is "long non-coding RNA (DCAR_LNC007049)". The record is from RNAcentral. Lineage: Eukaryota; Viridiplantae; Streptophyta; Magnoliopsida; Apiales; Apiaceae.
GAAAGAGUCACAAGGAGGAGAUCAUUAUCUUCUCACUGAUUCCAGAACUUGAUCCAGAACAGGCGUCCGGCUAAAUGACGUUAACGACAGCGCUUCUUGGGAGGCAACCCAAGGUUAUAUGUAUAUGUAUAUGUAAUUCUUACGUAUAACUUCUAUUCACACAAUUGAUUUUCUCCAACUCUAUGCGUUGAUGGGUGUGUUCAGUGUUUCAGGUUAUGAUAUGAAUGAAAUUUGUGAAAGAAUCUUAGCUCGUUGUGGUUUGUCAUUAGUGCACGAUCAUGCACUCUCUCAUGCACCUAUAUUGAGCCUACGUGACAUUUUUCUUCGAGUUGCAUGGUCAUGCAAUCUGCUACAUUAUCAUGUCCUUCGCAACCUGCCCC